CAGUGAUGUCUGAGCAAAUUAUUUAAAUAAGCAAAACUUUCAACAACGGAUCUCUUGGUUCCGGCAUCGAUGAAGAACGCAGCGAAAUGCGAUAAGUAAUGUGGACCGCAGUACUCAGCGACUCAUCGAAUCUUUGAACGCAUAUUGCGCCCCUU
This 155-nucleotide ribosomal RNA is filed under the name Peltigera praetextata. RNAcentral describes it as "5.8S ribosomal RNA". The stretch from base 35 to 155 matches the Rfam family "5.8S ribosomal RNA", at positions 1 to 121 of the family's 154-position model. Rfam says of the family: 5.8S ribosomal RNA (5.8S rRNA) is a component of the large subunit of the eukaryotic ribosome. It is transcribed by RNA polymerase I as part of the 45S precursor that also contains 18S and 28S rRNA. The record is from RNAcentral. Lineage: Eukaryota; Fungi; Ascomycota; Lecanoromycetes; Peltigerales; Peltigeraceae.